UGGGGAAUAUUGCACAAUGGAGGAAACUCUGAUGCAGCGACGCCGCGUGAGUGAUGAAGUAUUUCGGUAUGUAAAGCUCUAUCAGCAGGGAAGAUAAUGACGGUACCUGACUAAGAAGCCCCGGCUAACUACGUGCCAGCAGCCGCGGUAAUACGUAGGGGGCAAGCGUUAUCCGGAUUUACUGGGUGUAAAGGGAGCGCAGACGGUUUUGCAAGUCUGAAGUGAAAUCCCACGGCUCAACUGUGGAAUUGCUUUGGAAACUACAUAACUUGAGUACUGGAGAGGUAAGCGGAAUUCCUGGUGUAGCGGUGAAAUGCGUAGAUAUCAGGAAGAACAUCAGUGGCGAAGGCGGCUUACUGGACAGCAACUGACGUUGAGGCUCGAAAGCGUGGGGAGCAAACAGGAUUAGAUACCCUGGUA
This 420-nucleotide ribosomal RNA is filed under the name uncultured bacterium. RNAcentral's name for it is "bacterial SSU rRNA". It matches the Rfam family "Bacterial small subunit ribosomal RNA", at positions 355 to 792 of the family's 1533-position model. The record is from RNAcentral.